This 1437-nucleotide ribosomal RNA is filed under the name uncultured bacterium. Its description in RNAcentral is "bacterial SSU rRNA". It matches the Rfam family "Bacterial small subunit ribosomal RNA". The record is from RNAcentral.
AGAGUUUGAUCCUGGCUCAGGAUGAACCUUGGCGGGGUGCCUAAUACAUGCAAGUCGUACGCACUGGCCCAACUGAUUGAUGGUGCUUGCACCUGAUUGACGUUGGAUCACCAGUGAGUGGCGGACGGGUGAGUAACACGUAGGUAACCUGCCCCGGAGCGGGGGAUAACAUUUGGAAACAGAUGCUAAUACCGCAUAACAACAAAAGCCACAUGGCUUUUGUUUGAAAGAUGGCUUUGGCUAUCACUCUGGGAUGGACCUGCGGUGCAUUAGCUAGUUGGUAAGGUAACGGCUUACCAAGGCGAUGAUGCAUAGCCGAGUUGAGAGACUGAUCGGCCACAAUGGAACUGAGACACGGUCCAUACUCCUACGGGAGGCAGCAGUAGGGAAUCUUCCACAAUGGGCGCAAGCCUGAUGGAGCAACACCGCGUGAGUGAAGAAGGGUUUCGGCUCGUAAAGCUCUGUUGUUGGAGAAGAACGUGCGUGAGAGUAACUGUUCACGCAGUGACGGUAUCCAACCAGAAAGUCACGGCUAACUACGUGCCAGCAGCCGCGGUAAUACGUAGGUGGCAAGCGUUAUCCGGAUUUAUUGGGCGUAAAGCGAGCGCAGGCGGUUGCUUAGGUCUGAUGUGAAAGCCUUCGGCUUAACCGAAGAAGUGCAUCGGAAACCGGGCGACUUGAGUGCAGAAGAGGACAGUGGAACUCCAUGUGUAGCGGUGGAAUGCGUAGAUAUAUGGAAGAACACCAGUGGCGAAGGCGGCUGUCUGGUCUGCAACUGACGCUGAGGCUCGAAAGCAUGGGUAGCGAACAAGAGUAGAUACCCUGGUAGUCCAUGCCGUAAACGAUCCUCGAUGGGUGUUGGAGGGGUUUUCCGCCCUUCAGCGCCGGAGCUAACGCAAUAAGCAUUCCUCCUGGGGAGUAGGACUGCGAAGGUUGAAACUCAAAGAAAAUGACGGGGGCCCGCACAACCGGUGGAGCAUGUGGUUUAAUUCGAAGGUACGCGAAGAACCUUAUCAGGUCUCGACAUCUUGCGCUAACCUUAGAGAUAAGGCGUUCCCUUCGGGGACGCAAUGACAGGUGGUGCAUGGUCGUCGUCAGCUCGUGUCGUGAGAUGUUGGGUUAAGUCCCGCAACGAGCGCAACCCUUGUUACUAGUUGCCAGCAUUAAGUUGGGCACUCUAGUGAGACUGCCGGUGACAAACCGGAGGAAGGUGGGGACGACGUCAGAUCAUCAUGCCCCUUAUGACCUGGGCUACACACGUGCUACAAUGGACGGUACAACGAGUCGCAAGCUCGCGAGAGUAAGCUAAUCUCUUAAAGCCGUUCUCAGUUCGGACUGUAGGCUGCAACUCGCCUACACGAAGUCGGAAUCGCUAGUAAUCGCGGAUCAGCAUGCCGCGGUGAAUACGUUCCCGGGCCUUGAAAUCGCCGCCCGUCA